RNAcentral lists this long non-coding RNA (282 nucleotides) under Elaeis guineensis (African oil palm). RNAcentral's name for it is "long non-coding RNA (EGUI_LNC071385)". Lineage: Eukaryota; Viridiplantae; Streptophyta; Magnoliopsida; Arecales; Arecaceae. The record is from RNAcentral.
ACAGCAGUCUGGUUAAGGAAGAAGCAAAGAUUCAACGGUCGAUCUACUACAUAAGUCGAGUAUUGAGAGACACCGAAAUCAGGUAUACUAAGUUAGAAAAACUAACUUACGCCUUAUUGAUUGCAGCUCGAAGGCUCCGACCUUACUUUCAAGGGCACACCAUAACACUGCUCACCGACCAGCCGAUUAAGGCAGUUCUGCAUCGAGCGGAUGCUUUCGGAAGGAUAGAAAAUGGGCGGUCGAGCUCACAGAAUUCGACAUUAACUAUCAACCUCAGCCGAC